UAACUAACAUGGUGUUGGAUCUUUGAAUUUAUGACCAAAAAAUUAGAUGGGUUUUGUGAUUUUGGGUGUCACUGUCAAGAUUUGUGAAUGGCAAGAAAACUAAGAACAAGAAGGGUUUAGGAAUACAACUUUUCUCCAUACCCUUUUGUGUGGUCAAGCUACAAGCCUACAACUAGUCGACUGUUAACUGCCUCCGCUACCAUCCCCAAGGGACCCCAACCGCUUGACCAGUGACCACCCACUGGGUCACCACCAUCGCCAUUGUCGGGAAUUGCAGAGGUCAGCAUUCUUGUUCCAAGCGCUUAAAUUCGAUGGUGUGCUGUUCAUAUGGGAAACAAAGGAUUCCAUGAGACUUUGGAUGAACAAAUGCCAGGUUGCUGCUUUUUUACUUGUUCAGAAGUCAAAGAUGAGUGUUUCAUGUUUUUAGUGACUGCACUGAGAACAAGAUCAAUCCGAGAUGGUGGUGGGCAUAAAAUCGGAUCUUCCAUGGCUUAUCUACUUCAAGAUCAACCGGAUCUUCCAUCAGAUAAGUGUUUUAGCAAGGGCUUGGAGAUGUCGAUGGCUAUUGCUCUUUGAUUUUUACCCAGAUGCUUGUAUUAUUUGUCGUUAUAUCGAUACCAGGGACAUCGAAUGGGAUGUAACUGAUAGUAUCAUCAAUAAAUACCUACUCCAUCAUACUAGCCAAAAUUUUUCCCUUUGUGCAUCUCAUUAUUCUGAUAUGUACUCAUGGGUUCAAUGUAGCUAUCUCAGGUACAAGCCCUAAGAAUUCUAGAAUCCGGCCACCCAGAAUAAUAUCACUGAACGUGGAUUCUAGAUUUGAAACCGUAGCUAUAGCUGCUCCCUCAUUGAUUGAGAUUGUUUGAUCCGCCUCAGCUGGAGAAAUCUCAUCUUCAUAUGGCGAUCUCAUAAAGGUAAUUUGAUCCUCCGUCUAAUCGGAACAUCUGCUCCUUUGGAAUAUGUUUUAUCUAGCUCGUUUGGAUCGGACUGCUUACAAAAGCGGUACAAAAUGCACGCGUUGUACUUCGUUGUUGGGUUCAAGCAAUUCUACCAUGUCAUAGGAGUGGACAAUAUAUAUCUUACGGAGUAUCUUUGUUUUUGUAUCGAGCCCAAAUCACUCGUUUGGAUCUUCCCUUCAAAAGUUAGGCCUAUACUAUUACUUCCUGCAUCAAAAUACAUCUUGUAGCAUAAACACAGGAUUAUAAGUGACGCUGCAAGACGAUGGUGAUUGAGCCUCAUUUUGACCCACUGAAUUUUGUGCGAGAAUGAAUAGAGCGAAACAUUCAGUUCUCGUUUAUCCCAGAAAUCCCCACAGCUUUUAAAGGAACCAUGACUGAUCCAAUCCAAGGAACCAAGCUCAAUGCUGCUUUUGAAUGGAUCAGUUGAGAUGCUUGUGAUAUUUGUUGUUUUAUCAAUACCAAGGAUAUUAGAUGGGAUAUAGCCGAUAUUAGUAUCAUCAUCAAACUUCAUCAUACUAGCCAAAUUAUUUCCCCGAAAACCUGUUGUUCCUCGUGUGUAUUUGUAAUAGACUGGAAUUGCCGUUAUAGUGAAUAAUAGAACACUGAAAUGUAAUAACUUGUAUUGAUGUAAUGGACAGAAACAAGAUAGCAAUAUAAGUAUUCGAGAGGCUUGCUCUCGAACUCAACCUAAAUGUGUCGUACAAUUUUCUGAUCUGUUUCUCUACACCUUAUACGAAUGUUGAUGAAUUGAUUAUGAAUGACUAUAGCCGGGAACAUUUUGUUAUGCCCUUGUAUUUGUUCUGUUGCUAGAGGCUGCUGGGUGUGUGAGUGUGUCAUUUUAUGUGCUGUUUACGAAAUCUGUCUUGGCUUAGAAGAUUUGCCUCGUUGGUGAAGAUCUCUGUCGCAGAUAGAACUAUUUGCAACGAUGAUCUUGAUUAUCUGAUAUGCGUCUUUUCUCGUCUUGAGAGGCUAUAUCUGUUCCAUACUUAUCAAGACUGGUGUAGUUAGGUUCGAAAUCGUAAGUACAGCUGCUCCCUUUUGGUUGAGAAUGUUGACGUGCUAAGGGUUUGC
Amaranthus tricolor (Joseph's coat) is the source of this 2027-nucleotide long non-coding RNA. RefSeq lists it as uncharacterized. The record is from RefSeq and is a predicted model, not a curated record. NCBI's taxonomy places the organism in Eukaryota, Viridiplantae, Streptophyta, Magnoliopsida, Caryophyllales, Amaranthaceae. The transcript has 4 exons.